UUCCACGUAUUUGUGUAUUUUCCAGUUUUCAUUUUGUUAUUGAUUUCUAGUUUCAUUCCAUUGUAAUCAGAAAAGAUAUUUUGUAUGUGGCUUCACAGAAACUAGGUACAAAAAGUUUUUGCUAAGAUCUGUCACAAAUUAUUGUUAUCUAAUAGAAAUGCAAGGAAUUUUGUCCUAUAGAGAUGCAAAUGAUUUAUUUUUAUGGGAAAAGAAACUAGAACAUUAAGCAAUUUGUACUGAAUUUUGUAAUCUUACUCCAGCAUUCUUUCUGUGACUAUACAUACUUCUGUAUCUCCCAUAAUCCUUUGAACCAGCUCUCUCAGCUUGCUCAUUCCCUCAAUCAUGAGUUAAAUAGGUCUUUGACAUGUGUUUAGUCUAAUAAACAAACAAAUAACUGAGUCUAACAGAAAAAUUGGGACAUCAUUGGUUUAAAUAAAAAUGUUUAUCAAGGACAGGAGUAGCUUGCCCAUAUUUGGUGAAGGGGAAGAAUCUGAAGAGAUAAAGAUGCUAAAAAUGGGCAAAAUGGGACCUCCUGCACAGGCAGAGGACUUAGCCUUGGAAUUCAGAGAGUCACCCGUUUCCUAAGCCUGGAGAGAAGGAGAAAGUGGGUGACUAAAGAGAAUUGAGUGACAAUGACAAAUAAACUGCAGUUUUUGAGGCUACUGAUGUUAUUCCACAUCUCAUCAUGCCUUCUUUUCAGAACCCUGGGGAUUGGCAACUAUGACAAAAAUAAUGGCACUGGUCAGAAGCCAGGUUAAACCUUUAGUACUGUGUGGUCAUAACUCCAUCCAGCCUGUGCUCCUGGUACGUGUAAGCAUGUCACACUCCAUGGCCUUCUGCCAAUAGGAAAGACAUAGCUAAGCCAUUGUAGGGUAAAAGAUGUCAACAAGUAACACAGGAUUUUCCAAGCUCAGUAGUAGAUGUUCAAAUGCAUUUGCUAUUGAUAAUACAGUAGACUCUGGUUUAUCUCAAAUAGAAAACAAGAUUUAAAAAAAAAAAAAAGACUAGUCUUUGCAAGCUUAUCUAAAAGAAAACAUUUCUACAUGUGUAGUAAGGAUUUUAACCUUGCUCAAAAGGAGAUGUGACCUUUGCCCUCAGCCCGUGAUGGGUAAUCCCUAAACCCUUGGAAUGUCCCCCCAUAAGUGUCUUUGUUUACCUGGGGGUCUUGACCAAGCAGAAUGUCUAACAAUGUGGUUGUUGGUGGGGGCUUUUGAGUCACACAGUAUCAGCUCAAUGUCUAGAAGGUCUGGAGACUGAAGCUCCACAUGGGCAAUUGAAGAUGGAGACCCAGUAAAGACCCUGGACACCAAGACUUAGGGAUGGAGGAGACCUACCAGCUUUUAACAUCUUAUGGCCAUGAAGUAACACACAUCCUUUUUAGAUCUGGUCACAUGAACUCAACCGACAGCAAAGAAAAAUGUAUGGGAGCACCUGAGUAUGCCCUGAGCACUGCGUCUGCCAAGGUCAACCGUCUGCACAUUGCUGAGACUGUGGACCCACUGCUCCACCUGGAGCCCCUCCUCCUGUUGUCACUUGGGCAAGCUCCGAUUUGUCCUUCAACUCAGUUCAGGUGUUCAGUCCUCCAGACCACUGCACUGCCGCUCACAGGAGACCACAAGCACUCCUCCUCCGGGAUGCGCAGCAUGCACCUGCGUUUCAGGAAUUACCCUGUGGAGCUGUCUCCUCUCCCUGCUUGACCACGAAGUCCCUGAGGCAGGAACCAGACACUUUCACUCAGCAGAUACAGACUGAACCCUGGCACUGGUAUAGGAACAGAUGUUACAAUGGGAACAAAACCUGCCCUCAAGAAGGACACAGAGAACAAACAAGUAGCCAAGUCGAUAGGAUAAUUUCUGCUAUGGAAGAAAAUAUAAACUGGAAGGAAGAUUUCUUUGCAAAGGGGACGUUUGAGAAGAAACUGAAGCUGCACAAAUAUUUUGAGGAAAUGUGCCCCAGGCAGAGAUGACAGGAGUGAAAAGCCUGAGGAAGAAAAGGCCACAGAUGGCUGAGGACGGGCGAGGACGGGCCAGGAAGGUCCAGGAGGGCAGCUCUGAUGGGCUGCCUGCUCCCCACCAGCCUGUGAUUCAUUGAGAGCGGGGACCAAGCCCGGUGACCCCACGCAGUCAUUCUCCCUGGGCCUCACUGAGGAGUUCUUCACGCCCAACCCUGCAGCUACGCCAGCAGUGCAGUGUCAAGCGCCCUCAUAAGUCAUGCUAGAUUUCGAAAUAUACUAAGUCCCUUUUCACUGGAAAGUUAAAAGCAGAAAGGAAGGAGCAAGAAGGAGGACAGCAAAAGAGGGGAAAUGUUAUGAAAGUUGUCGAAUUACAGAGUUUUUAAAGAGCUAUAAUUUUCUGCCAAUUAAAUUAAAUUCUGCAAAAUAAAAUGCAUCCAGGUACAGCUAGGUAUGUGGUUAAUGACCAUUACCAAGAUUUCAUAAUUAGACUGCUUUAUGCUCUGAUAUGCUAGAAAAACAGAAAACCUUCCAUGUGUGCACAUUUGUAGCUUAAACAGCAACUUGAAGCUGUGUGGCAAAGAUCUUCAAUUCAUUAGGCUCACCUUUCUAAAAGGUCUUGCAAUUUGAUAACUUUUUCCUUUUGUAUGUUUAAGAUUCUGAAAAUGCAGAGGAAGAAGUUGUUUCAACAGUUCUAGCCGGUAUGACUAUGUUAACCAUUUCUCUCUCUGAUUUUGGAGUCGGAAGGCCAAAACCUGGGGGCACAGAAGGAGGAGACCAUGCACACAGCAGCAGCACAAGCCCACAAGCCAUCGCAACCUAGACUUUUCCUGGGGUGGGCUGCAAGCAUUUCUGUUCCUGGAACAGCUGCUCACCAAUGUCCGUCUGCACGAGUGUCAUCUGGGACUUUAUUUAACUGCAGAUGCCAGGUGUCCUGCCCUAGAUUCUGACUGGGUUGGAGCCCAGGGAUCUGCAUUUUCACAAGCACCUCAAGGGACUCUGAUGCAGAUGGCCUGAGGACCACACUUUGGGAGACACUGCCCUUACUCACUUGAGUGGUUUGAAUUGGGGUCCAGAGAGUCUCCACUCAAACUGUGGUCCAUAGACCAGCAGCAAAACAAGUACCUGUGGUCUUAUAUCAGUUUUGAAAUCUGCUUCUGGAGUUGAUUGUACCCUUGGGAUUUCACUCUUGGGCCAAGCAGCUUAUGGACAUGUGCUUCCACAUGCAUAACUGUGCUUUCCCUAAGAGAGCUUCUGGCAAAUAACAUCUCUUCCACUUGUGGCAAUAAGAGGGCCAGUUCUUGUGAAGCCUGAAGGCAGGAUAGGAUGAACUGAAAUAAAUCCUCGUUUAUUUCUCAGACUAAAAUGAAGAAUCACUAACCAAGUCUAAUUCCUCCUCUCCACCUCCCUCCCCACACCUUAAACAUGGAGUCUCUUAUAGGAAGUGGAGGACAGAAGAAGAAAAAGUGGGAGAACAGGCUUCAGUGGGUCCCACGGAAGCCGUGUGUGUGUGGCCUUAAGGGCAGAUCUCACGGGUGGCCAAAUGGACCCCCAUCUCAAGGGCCUCCCUGGGCUCUGUCUGUUGGUGACCAGGGGCCACUUUUGUAAACAUAGUUAUGAUGUCACUCAUAGCCACACCCAAAAUGCACUAGAUUGGGACCUGUGUGUUGGGGAGGGGGGAUCUCGGACCACAAUUCCUCCCUCUUUCAUCUGCGCCCUAUCAGAGACCUGUAAGCGAGCAUGGGGUCUGGAAGGGAGAAUGCCCUCCCCUGCCCCAGCCUUCCUGUGAUGGUGAGCAUGGACCACUGUGCACCACCCUGGCAGGCACGUGGCCAGGGACGGGGAAGAGUGUGGUAGACAAGGUUUAGGGGACCAGGAAUUCUCGGUCCAUGCUUGCCCUUCUAUGAAAUAAUAUGGUGUGUUCUUUUUCUGAUGGGGAACUCUAGGAGCAAGUUUUUGGAAAUGAAUUCAAGGAAAAUAGCUUGACAGAGAAGCAGUUAGCCCUUCCAUUUGGGAUGACUUGCAAAGAAAUAGGCCACCCACCAGUCUGUAUCUAACACAAAUAAUAACCAUUCUUUUUCUUCACGUCAUAAGGACAGCACUAACUUCAGAUGCAAUGACAUCAGAACUUCUGGGAAGCACCUUUCUUUUUCAGGAUUGAAUAUUUGCUUCUCUCUGUGAGGAAUUCUGAAAUGCGCUGGAGACACACACGCAGAGCAACAAAGCAUGUGAAAAACAAGAUCUUCUAUCAUAUCGGGCAAAGCUUCCACUCUCAUUGUGGAUCAGAAUGGACACAAUCCUUCCCUGACACUAAACAUAACCCACCUCAGUGCAUUAAAGGAUGGUUCAAAACCAGGGUGUUGACGGCCCUGACCACCCCCCUGCCAUGUGCCGAUUGGGACCUUGACUCAGAUGAUUCCUGGAUCAAGAGACAUCUGAUCUUCACUUUCCCCAAGGGUGGGCCAGAAGGGAGCUCAUUUUGUAUCCAUCGAGGAGGAGUAAACUCUUGCCACCCAGCUGCAACGCCCAGAGAUUCAGGACAGGAGGGUAGAUGGUUCCCGAGUGCCCUGGACCUGGAAAGGCCACGCUUCUGCAGCCUGCUUCCCAGAGCGGGCCCCGCUGGAGGACACCACCCAGGACCUUGGGACACUGGAGGCAGCGAGGCCCAUGGCAGGCGGCGGCUGGGCACAGGGGCUGCAGGAGCUGGAGGAGAGGAACUUCUCAGGAGGGCCUGGCCCCUCCAGAUCCCAGCAGGGUCCACCCUCUGCCCGGCAUGGGGCUCCACAUGAUUCCAUGAAGGCUGGAGGCUGUGACCAGGGGUUGGCACCCUGCCUCCUGGAAGGGCUCAGGUGAGAGGCCAAGAGUACCUCUGACAGCCUCCUCAUGUGUGCCAGGGCCCAGCCAAUCCCCAGCCCCCUGGUUGUAACUUCAGCCAUUCCCUCCCUCAAGAAAGGUCAUUGCAUAGAGGUAAGAGUGGCAUAGUAGAGGAAUAAUCUGAACUCUUCACACACCCACCCAAUCAUGUAUCUCUUCAGAAGUUCACUAUCAGGGUGAAAGAUUAUAUGCACCUGGCCUACCCAGGACACGCUGACUGCCCAAGUGCACGGGAGACCUGCCCCCUUUCCCUACACCCAGCGACAGGUAAAAAGGUGGGCAAGUGCUGGAGGAGUGAGAAUGGGGUAGGAAGGAAAGAGGAGAAGCUGAGAGGAGGAAGGGGAGAGGCACAGGGAGCAAGACAACACAAAUCCAAGCCUGAGUUUCGCCUCAAGCAGGGCUCAGAAAUGUGUGUCUGCAGAAUUGGGACGAGUCACGUGGGGACUAAGCAACAGGAUGAAGCAUCAGUCACAACCUCCCUGGGCAUUGCCUGGUGAUGUGUAACAGACCUCUGCCAGGGUGCUGGCAUUCCCAUGGUGGAGGGAGGCAGAGGGGGCUGGGGAGGGCCGCCAACCCCAGACACCCGGGAGUGCUGACAAGCCUCUGCACCCCACUGGGGGUUUAAGUGUCCACUUGUGCAUAAUGAGGCGUUGGUCUCAGUGCUCUCUGGGACCAUUCCAGCUUGAAGAGUCUGUGAUGCUGAGUCUGAGAAAUUGAAUAUUGAUUGAUGAUUCACACUCAAGGCCUAGAGGUAAUUGGAGCUAGGUGAUUCCUCAUAAUGAAUCAAAGUAUCAAGUAGGUAAAACAGAAUUGUUUACCCUCAGAGUUCAGCCUCAGGCAACAUCGCUAAAGGGAGAUAUUUUUUAAAGAAAUCUGUCUGCAAAACCAAGUCAGAUCAGGAGAUGAGGAAGUGGUGGCCUCUUCAGAGGGAGAGCGGCAUGAUAGGAUGAAGGCUGUGAGGAGGGCACCCCCAAACCUCAUCUUGCCAAUGCCUGGCACACACUGAUGCCCAAUAAAUGUCUAUUGAAUUAAAUUGACAUAAAUAAAACAUCCCUAAAGUACUGUGUUUGUCAGAGAUUGCUAGUUAGCCCCCCAAACCAGUCUCCUUUUUUAUAUCUCUAUAGAGCUCCCACAUUUUAGUUGAGCACAGGGCCACUCAGUAUAAAAAUUACUUUUCUGAGUCACCCUUGAAGCAACAUAUUUUGACCAAGUUUGGACCAAUGAUAUGUUAAUAGCAGUAUCACAUGAAAGCUUCCAGGAGCUUUCCAUAAAAGACAGCUAGUCAUGUCCUUUGUCUUCCUCCUUCCUGCUAGCUGGAAUAUGUAUGUGUGAUGACUGGACCUGAGCAGCCAUAUUGGACCAGGAAGUGAUUGUGUGACUUGAGGCCAUGCACAGCAAGAUAGAUAGUCCUGGGUGUCUGAGGACUUUGCGGAGUAGAGCCACAACACCAGUCCUGAAUUGUCUGUCCUCAGACUUUUAUGAGAAAGAGAAAUAUAUUUCUAUCUUGUGUAAGUCACUGAUAUUUUGUGUCUUUUACUCACAAAUGACCCUAAUCCAUGCCUCUGGGUGCCAAGAAGUCCUCAGUACUGUUUGCUGAAUGAAUAAAUGCCACAGCAGUAAUGUUUAUUAUUGAAAAAUAAUAAAAAUGAGGAAAUAUAGACAAAAUAUUUUCCUGUAAAGAUAAAAGAGAGUUUGAGACUCAUGCUCUAUCCUGCCUAGAGCUAAUAAUCAAUAACUAGGUAUAAGCCGGAGUGAAACAACUGUUUCUCCACUAAAUACCAAAGUGCCUCACACCGAGCUCCCCACAGCCCGUGAGCUGAGCCAGGCAAAAAGGAAACAAUGUUUUUCUUUUUUAAAAUUUUUAUUUAUCUUAUUUUAUAUUUUUGCGGUUUUAUUGAGCUAUAAUUGACAUACAACACUGUAUAACUGGAACGUGUACAGCAUAAUGAUCUGACUUACAUGUAUUGUGAAAUGAUUACCACAGGUUUAAUUAACGACCACCAUCUCAUAUAGAUACCAAAAAAAAAGAAAACAAUGUCUUUCUCCUUGUGAUGGGGUCUCUGAAGAUCUUCUCUCUUAACGACUUUCAAACAUACCAUGCAGCAGCGUUACCUCUGUUAACAUCAUGUUGUACAUUGAUUGCAUCCCCAGUACUUAAUUUUCUUGUAAUUGGAAGUUUGCACAUUUUGACUACUUUCUUCCAAAGUAUUUUCUAUAAUCAUGUUUUGCUUUUGUCGUGAGCCCAUAUCUUCUCCCAAGAGCAGAAAUAAUCUUGUUGUUUCCAAAUAAACUCUGUUAAUGACUAUGAAGUCAUUUCAGGACUUAAGUUCUGAUGUUUCUCCCUGCUCUGCCCUGGGGGUGCAUCAAGGCUCUGGGGGACUCGGGAGUGCCACACUUGUGGGGAGGAAGUAUGGGCCUCAGUCCAUCUCUGUCCACGUGGCCCCUCUGUGCGGUCCUCAUUGCCAUGCCUCUGCACCCUCCACGGCUUUUCCAUAGCCCUGGACACCAGGUCCACCACUCUACGAGUAGCUAUGUCCUCCUCACCAAAACCAUGAGGCUCUUCCAGGCACCCCCCACCCCCCACCCUCUCAGCAGUUUUAAGAUCUCCUGGGGUCUUAGGACUUUUCCCUGAUCUAUCCAUUUCCCUGAUCCAUCCAUCCAUCUUCCCAAGAUCCAUCUUGAGCACCAUAGCCUUGGCCACCCAGGACCCCCUUAGGUGCUGCUCCGAGCUCUGGCCUGUGUGGGCCACACCCCAGUGCAGGGCUCCGAUGCUCAGGGGUCCCCCAGCUUAUCAUUCUUGUGGCUCAUUUGGCCUGAGUGUGCCCGACACAGAGUUCCUUCUCAGAGACUCACAGCACCAGUGGCCUUGCUUACUACCUUACCCUCCUCCCUGCAGCCCAGAAAGAAUUUUCCUCCCUUCACUCGAUGGUGAAGAGAAUGGGCUAGGCGAGUAUUCUUCCAACCAGUCGUUCAUGAUGUGGAUCAAGGCUGCCCCAGAGAGAGAAGCCCAAGGUGACCUGGCCUACAUGCCGACCUAUAUGACCCGAUGGAUUCUAUGGUGUGGAUUAGGGCUGCCCCAGGGAGAGAAGCCCACGGCAUCCUCCCCUACAUGCCCAUCUGUAUGACCAGGU
Molecule: non-coding RNA, 7956 nt
Organism: Equus caballus (horse)
Lineage: Eukaryota; Metazoa; Chordata; Mammalia; Perissodactyla; Equidae
Source: RefSeq, a predicted model, not a curated record